This 484-nucleotide ribosomal RNA is filed under the name uncultured bacterium. Its description in RNAcentral is "partial 16S ribosomal RNA". It matches the Rfam family "Bacterial small subunit ribosomal RNA", at positions 30 to 507 of the family's 1533-position model. The record is from RNAcentral.
AUUGAACGCUGGCGGCAGGCCUAACACAUGCAAGUCGAGCGGAUGAAGGGAGCUUGCUCCUGGAUUCAGCGGCGGACGGGUGAGUAAUGCCUAGGAAUCUGCCUGGUAGUGGGGGAUAACGUCCGGAAACGGGCGCUAAUACCGCAUACGUCCUGAGGGAGAAAGUGGGGGAUCUUCGGACCUCACGCUAUCAGACGAGCCUAGGUCGGAUUAGCUAGUUGGUGGGGUAAAGGCCUACCAAGGCGACGAUCCGUAACUGGUCUGAGAGGAUGAUCAGUCACACUGGAACUGAGACACGGUCCAGUCUCCUACGGGAGGCAGCAGUGGGGAAUAUUGGACAAUGGGCGAAAGCCUGAUCCAGCCAUGCCGCGUGUGUGAAGAAGGUCUUCGGAUUGUAAAGCACUUUAAGUUGGGAGGAAGGGCAGUAAGUUAAUACCUUGCUGUUUUGACGUUACCAACAGAAUAAGCACCGGCUAACUUCGUG